Triticum urartu is the source of this 105-nucleotide non-coding RNA. The record is from Rfam. Lineage: Eukaryota; Viridiplantae; Streptophyta; Magnoliopsida; Poales; Poaceae.
CUUAUACUCCCUCCGUCCCAAAAUAAGUGUUGCUGAUUUAGUACAAAGUUAGCACAAUGUUGUACUAAAUCAGCAACACUUAUUUUGGGACGGAGGGAGUAUAUA